CCGGCCUAAUGCCAAAUCGAGUCAAUAUAACACAAUUCACAAUACCGUUUACAAAAGGCAUGAAAAUCUACACCGGCGGUCCUAACGUCCAGCACCAUGCUAUCCAAUUAUCCUUACCUAAAGCGACCUGCAAAAAGGACAACGGAGUUGGAUAAGUAAUCUAGUAUUACUCAGUGAGCUGGCGGCCUCAACCCGCAACCUAGAUUCUAACCCAGACAACCCAAAAUAACAAUCAAUCUAGCCC
RNAcentral lists this long non-coding RNA (244 nucleotides) under Brassica napus (rape). RNAcentral's name for it is "long non-coding RNA (BNAP_LNC004023)". The record is from RNAcentral. Lineage: Eukaryota; Viridiplantae; Streptophyta; Magnoliopsida; Brassicales; Brassicaceae.